Crotalus tigris (Tiger rattlesnake) is the source of this 1046-nucleotide long non-coding RNA. RefSeq lists it as uncharacterized. Lineage: Eukaryota; Metazoa; Chordata; Lepidosauria; Squamata; Viperidae. The record is from RefSeq and is a predicted model, not a curated record. The transcript is spliced from 3 exons.
AUCAUUCAGACACCAUCCCGAGCUGGGAUCCACUACGGCUAACCACUUUAAAACACUCCAAGGGAACAUUGGAAUCCAAUUUCUAAGUAAAGCUGUUGUCCGCUUAAACACCAGUAACUUCCUCAAAUGCCUGAAUUUGUAAGUUUAUCAAUUGACUGGCAUACAUUUCAUCAAUUAAAUAACUCACAUAUCUUCCUGUACAUUAUCUUAAGAGAGGUCAUUCCUCAAAACCACCCAUCGUUCUGUGCCUCUCUCGGGUGACUUUUCUGCGAUCCCCUGGACUCUUUCAACCACGGUUUCAGAGACAGGAAACACAGAAACAUUGUAGAGGAGAUAUCAAAAUAGGCUCACUAAAACAAGGGGAGCAUAUCAGAAAUUUGGAAAAUCCAAAGCCCAUCUACUUGCAACGUUGCCCUGGCAACCGCCUGCCUCGCCAAAGUUGUACAGCCCUGGUCUGCCCAAAUCCACUACUCUGAACGUGGGAGUCACCUAAAGCAAGGGUUCUCAACCUUGGCAACUUUAAGACUUGUGGACUUCAAUUCCCACCUGUACAGCGGCUCCUACCAAACCAUUAAGAUCUGGGACAUCCGGAACCUAGAAUGUGUGCAUGUGCUACAGACGUCUGGGGGCAGCGUCUACUCCAUUGCGGUUACCAACCAUCACAUCGUCUGUGGCACCUACGAAAAUCUCAUUCACGUGUGGGAUAUUGAGUCGAAAGAGCAGGUUCGCACCCUCACGGGACACGUGGGCACUGUGUACGCUCUGGCAGUCAUCUCUACGCCGGAUCAAACCAAAGUCUUCAGCGCCUCGUAUGAUCGGUCGUUGCGGGUACGUAAGGCACAGCAAGUUGUUGGUUCAAGGCGAGGGGCGCAGAAGAAGACCAUGGGAAAAAGGGGGAGGUGGCAAUGGGAGGGAUCCUAACAGAUCUUUCAAAGUCUAUUAAUUUGAUGAAGUUGAACUUUUAGGAAGCAGGCAGCUGGGCUCCUGAUCCCUGAAUAGCUGUAUGGUCAUCCCAACCCAAGGUCUCGUCAGCUGCCUGGCUCCAC